GCUCUCGCUAUUGGAUGAGCCUAUGUCAGAUUAGCUAGUUGGUGAGGUAAAGGCUCACCAAGGCAACGAUCUGUAGCUGGUCUGAGAGGAUGAUCAGCCACAUCGGGACUGAGACACGGCCCGGACUCCUACGGGAGGCAGCAGUGGGGAAUAUUGGACAAUGGGGGCAACCCUGAUCCAGCCAUGCCGCGUGUGUGAAGAAGGCCUUCGGGUUGUAAAGCACUUUCAAUGAGGAAGAAGGCUUAAUGGUUAAUACCCAUUAAGAUAGACAUCACUUGCAGAAGAAGCACCGGCUAACUCCGUGCCAGCAGCCGCGGUAAUACGGAGGGUGCAAGCGUUAAUCGGAAUUACUGGGCGUAAAGCGCGCGUAGGUGGAUGAAUAAGUCAGAUGUGAAAGCCCCGGGCUCAACCUGGGAACGGCAUCUGGAACUGUCCGGCUAGAGUGCAGGAGAGGAAGGUGGAAUUCCCGGUGUAGCGGUGAAAUGCGUAGAGAUCGGGAGGAACACCAGUGGCGAAGGCGGCCUCCUGGACUGACACUGACACUGAGGUGCGAAAGCGUGGGUAGCAAACAGGAUUAGAUACCCUGGUAGUCCACGCCGUAAACGAUGUCUACCAGCCGUUGGGUGUCUAACACUAUUUGUGGCCAAAUUUACGCCAUUAAUCAACCGCCCGGGGAAUACCGGCCCCAGGGUAAAACUCCAAUGAAUUGGCCGGGGCCCCCACCAGCCGUGGAACCUGGGGUUUAAUUCCAUGCCACGCCAAAAACCUUACCUACGCCUGACCUCCACAAAAACUUGAAGAAAUUGUGGUGUGCCCUCCGGAACUGCUAAACAGGUGCUGCCUGGCUGGCCUCCGCUCCUGGUGUGAAAUGGUGGGUUAAGUCCCGUAACCAACGCCACCCCUGUCCCUAUUUGCCAACCAUUAAUGUCAGAAACUCUAAGGAAACUGCCGGGAACAAACCGAAGGAAGGGGGGAACAACUUCAAGUCUUCAGGGCCCUUCGAGCUGGGGCUACACACGUGCUACAAGGGCCGGUACAAAGGGCUGCGACCUCGCGAGAGUCAGCAAAUCCCUUAAACUGUGUCUCAUUCCGGAUGUUAGUCUGCAACUCGAAUCCUUGAAUCCGGAAUCCCUAGUAAUCGUGGAUCAGAAUGUCACGGUGAAUACUUUCCCGGGGCUUGUACACACCGCCCGUCACACAUGGGGAGUGUUUGCACCA
Molecule: ribosomal RNA, 1218 nt
Filed under: uncultured bacterium
Lineage: Bacteria
Description: partial 16S ribosomal RNA
Rfam family: Bacterial small subunit ribosomal RNA
Source: RNAcentral